AAUGAACGCUGGCGGCGUGCCUAACACAUGCAAGUCGAACGAGAAAGCCUGGCUUGCCAGGCAAGUAAAGUGGCGCACGGGUGAGUAACGCGUGGGUAAUCUACCUCUGUCUGGGGAAUAACCUACCGAAAGGUGGGCUAAUACCGCAUAACGUGGUCGGGUUGCGACCUGAUCACCAAAGAUGGCCUCUCCAUGGAAGCUAUCGGGGUGGAGAUGAGCCCGCGUUCCCAUUAGCUAGUUGGUAAGGUAAAAGCUUACCAAGGCUACGAUGGGUAGCUGGUCUGAGAGGAUGACCAGCCACACUGGAACUGGAACACGGUCCAGACACCUACGGGAGGCAG
This 341-nucleotide ribosomal RNA is filed under the name uncultured Pseudomonadota bacterium. RNAcentral describes it as "bacterial SSU rRNA". It matches the Rfam family "Bacterial small subunit ribosomal RNA", at positions 29 to 351 of the family's 1533-position model. The record is from RNAcentral. Lineage: Bacteria; Pseudomonadati; Pseudomonadota.